This 497-nucleotide ribosomal RNA is filed under the name uncultured bacterium. RNAcentral describes it as "partial 16S ribosomal RNA". It matches the Rfam family "Bacterial small subunit ribosomal RNA", at positions 28 to 507 of the family's 1533-position model. The record is from RNAcentral.
GACGAACGCUGGCGGCGUGCCUAAUACGUGCAAGUAGAACGCUGAAGAGAGGAGCUUGCUCUUCUUGGAUGAGUUGCGAACGGGUGAGUAACGCGUAGGUAACCUGCCUUGUAGCGGGGGAUAACUAUUGGAAACGAUAGCUAAUACCGCAUAACAAUGGAUGACCCAUGUCAUUUAUUUGAAAGGGGCAAAUGCUCCACUACAAGAUGGACCUGCGUUGUAUUAGCUAGUAGGUGAGGUAACGGCUCACCUAGGCGACGAUACAUAGCCGACCUGAGAGGGUGAUCGGCCACACUGGGACUGAGACACGGCCCAGACUCCUACGGGAGGCAGCAGUAGGGAAUCUUCGGCAAUGGGGGCAACCCUGACCGAGCAACGCCGCGUGAGUGAAGAAGGUUUUCGGAUCGUAAAGCUCUGUUGUAAGUCAAGAACGAGUGUGAGAGUGGAAAGUUCACACUGUGACGGUAGCUUACCAGAAAGGGACGGCUAACUACGUG